GUCUCACUAAAUACUUUGCAGCAUUUCCAUCCUCUUUUGAAUACUGUGUUUUUAGGUCUCUCCUGGGCAUUACGGUCCUGUUGAAGGGCCAGCUGUGUGAAAAGCCCCUGAAGAGUGUCCGUGACCUCGUAACUCCUGAAUCCUCUGCUUUUCCUCCACAGCUCCAAUUAAGGAUCUGCUCUACUCUGCCCGCAGCCUUGGUAAGGCAGAGCAUCACAGGAAGAGGAAAGCGAAUUCCUGUGAUACAAGUACUGGUGCAGAGGAGGGGGGAAGACAAGACUUGAUCAUAUAAGGAAGAGUGAGGCAGGUUCCUAAGUAAAGCUGUGAGACAACAAGAGAGAGGCACAGUUGUGUUGUUAUGCAUAGAAGGCCAGAGUUGAGUCUGGUUUCUUGAGGGUGAUGUCCUGGCAAGUACUCUGGCACACAUGCUGUAGUAUAGUGUUCCAGUGCAUCCGUACAUCCAUCUAUGCUGCAAAUGGCACGGG
RNAcentral lists this long non-coding RNA (485 nucleotides) under Zonotrichia albicollis (white-throated sparrow). RNAcentral describes it as "lncRNA (ENSZALG00000014544.1)". Lineage: Eukaryota; Metazoa; Chordata; Aves; Passeriformes; Passerellidae. The record is from RNAcentral.